GUGGAGGUUGUGGCGCGUGAGGUGGAGGUUGUGGCGCGUGCUGGCUCGGCGAGGCUGCCUGUUGUAGGGGUGCUGGGCUGCACGUUGAGGGGUGGUUGUGUGUCCUGCUCCCUUCGGUCGGUGUUCUCGGCAACAUCUUAAGAUACUAGAAAAGGAUUUUACAGGACCAAGUCACAGCAAGAGUGAUUCCUGUCGUACCUCAAGAGCUAUGAGUAUGAAAAAGUCACAGGAAGAGCCUCCUGAAAAGGAUGAAGAUGCUGACUUUUUCAGUUUUUCUGCUCUUCAAACCAAAGUUGAUUUUAAACUUGGACUGCGCAGUAGAAACUCACCAAGGCUGACAAGGCCCUUCAGUAACGAUACCAAAGAGAAAAAUGUUCAGCGUCUGAUUUCUUCAGAUGGUGGGCUGAAGUAUAAACCAGUUCUAGCUCCACCAGUAGACACGGUGGGUUAACGUUGAAUUAUAUUCUCGUUUGU
This 474-nucleotide long non-coding RNA is filed under the name Dromaius novaehollandiae (emu). RNAcentral's name for it is "lncRNA (ENSDNVG00000000191.1)". The record is from RNAcentral. Lineage: Eukaryota; Metazoa; Chordata; Aves; Casuariiformes; Dromaiidae.